Molecule: transfer RNA, 85 nt
Filed under: Actinomadura syzygii
Lineage: Bacteria; Bacillati; Actinomycetota; Actinomycetes; Streptosporangiales; Thermomonosporaceae
Description: tRNA-Gln
Source: RNAcentral
GGGCGCGUCUCGGAUGGUGAUCGGGUGCUGGUCAGAGCCGCUUUUUGGAAGCGAGGAGUCGGCGGUUCGAAACCGUCCGCGCCCA